This 492-nucleotide ribosomal RNA is filed under the name uncultured bacterium. RNAcentral describes it as "partial 16S ribosomal RNA". It matches the Rfam family "Bacterial small subunit ribosomal RNA", at positions 29 to 507 of the family's 1533-position model. The record is from RNAcentral.
AGUGAACGCUGGCGGUAGGCCUAACACAUGCAAGUCGAACGGCAUCUCAUUAAGAGCUUGCUCUUACGGGUGGCGAGUGUCGGACUGGUGAGGAAUACAUUGGAAUCUACUUUUUCGUGGUGUAUAACUUAGGUAAACUUACGCUAAUACCGCAUACGACCUAUGGGUUAAAGCAGGGGCUUUUCUUACCUUGCGCGAUUUAAUGAGCCGAGGUCGGAUUCGCUAGUUGGCGGGGUAAUGGCCAACUAAGGCGACGACCCGUAGCUGGUCUGAGAGGAUGAACAGCCACACUGGAAGUGAGACACAGCCCAGACACCUAAGAGAGGCAGCAGUGGGGAAUAUUAGACGAUGGGCGCAAGCCUGAUACAGCAAAACCGCGUGGAUGAAGAAGGAGUUCGGGUUGGAAAACGAAGUUGUUGGGAGAAAAAAGCAGCAGGUUAAUACGCCGAUGUAAUGACGGUACCAAAAGAAUAAGCACCGGCUAACUUCGUG